Stylophora pistillata is the source of this 897-nucleotide long non-coding RNA. The record is from RefSeq and is a predicted model, not a curated record. NCBI's taxonomy places the organism in Eukaryota, Metazoa, Cnidaria, Anthozoa, Scleractinia, Pocilloporidae.
CUCAGCAGUAAAAAUGCAGUGAAGUUAAAAUUGCUGCUCCGAUAAAUGUCCUCCAAAAAUAAGAACCAAGGCCCAGGGCCAAUAAAUCAAACAAGCUCCCCUCUCAAAUGAGUGCCCCCCCCAUCCGCCUGGAGGAUAGUAUGUGAUAGAUGGGUGCUCACAGGACAGCCACAACAAAAUUCUUUAAUAAUAUUUUGCUUUUUGCUUUUUCAAGUCAGAAUCAUGAAAACACACAAUUAAAAGAAAUUGCGACUCUUUUCCUUUUUUUUUCCCUCAAGUUUUUGCUGCAAAGCCAUGUGAGAGUAGGACUCGAUGGCUUUUUUCCAGACUGGCCCAACAUGUGUCUGAGCUUUCACUAUGGUUUUCUAUGGGCUUACAUGCACAGAGCCAUACAGGUCAUAUGACAAUAAGACUUAUCAGUGCAUAACAAAUUAAUAGAUGAAGUAAAACCCUGAUCAAAAGAAGCUACAGAUUGACCAAGAUGAAAUGUUUACUGCUUACCAACUGAACACAAGAGCCCUACUGGGGAAUAUUGUCCCAAAGCCAUGGCAGUGCCAACCAACUGCAGUAAGGUUCAUACAAAAACAAUGGAGGGCCAACAUUCAACAGUGAAGUUCGAGCAAGCAAGGUCAAAUUACUGAGCUGUUUCAGCUACAUGCAACAGUACUGGAAAACACCUACCCAUGUUAGAAACUUUUGUGGGAUCACCCUUAAUACCAAAACAACAGUACACUAAUAUGGCAGAAUUUUUGAAAAAUUGAAAUGCAACAGGUUAACCCCAGGAUUGUAGCUAAGAAAUUACACUGCCAGCUAAAAAUUUCAAGUAAUGUGGCUUAAAAAUGGUGAACAACUGGAAGUGUGUAACCUCAGAAGUGCCCGCUGUGCCUUACCAAGUGA